GACGAACGCUGGCGGCGUGCUUAACACAUGCAAGUCGAACGGUAAGGCCCUUCGGGGUACACGAGUGGCGAACGGGCGAGUAACACGUGGGUGAUCUGCCCUGCACUUCGGGAUGAGCCUGGGAAACUGGGUCUAAUACCGGAUAGGACCACUGCCUGCAUGGGUGGUGGUGGAAAGCUUUUGCGGUGUGGGAUGGGCCCGCGGCCUAUCAGCUUGUUGGUGGGGUGAUGGCCUACCAAGGCGACGACGGGUAGCCGGCCUGAGAGGGUGACCGGCCACACUGGGACUGGGAGACGGCCCAGACUCCUACGGGAGGCAGCAGUGGGGAAUAUUGCACAAUGGGCGCAAGCCUGAUGCAGCGACGCCGCGUGAGGGAUGACGGCCUUCGGGUUGUAAACCUCUUUCAGCACCGACGAAGCGCAAGUGACGGUAGGUGCAGAAGAAGGACCGGCCAACUACGUGCCAGCCGCCGCAGUAA
RNAcentral lists this ribosomal RNA (478 nucleotides) under uncultured bacterium. RNAcentral describes it as "partial 16S ribosomal RNA". It matches the Rfam family "Bacterial small subunit ribosomal RNA", at positions 28 to 523 of the family's 1533-position model. The record is from RNAcentral.